UGCGUAACACGUAUCCAACCUACCCAUGGCUCAGGGAUAGCCUUCCGAAAGAAAGAUUAAUACCUGAUGGCCUCCCCUUGGGGACAUCCCUUGGGGAGUAAAGAUUCAUCGGCGAUGGAUGGGGAUGCGUCCGAUUAGCUGUUGGCGGGCAACGGCCCACCAAGGCGUCGAUCGGUAGGGGCUCUGAGAGGAGGGUCCCCACACUGGAACUGAGACACGGUCCAGACUCCUACGGGAGGCAGCAGUGAGGAAUAUUGGUCAAUGGGCGAGAGCCUGAACCAGCCAAGUAGCGUGAGGGAAGACUGCCCUACGGGUUGUAAACCUCUUUUGUUUGGGAAUAAAGUGCCGCACGUGUGCGGUUUUGUAUGUACCUUACGAAUAAGCAUCGGCUAAUUCCGUGCC
This 402-nucleotide ribosomal RNA is filed under the name uncultured bacterium. RNAcentral's name for it is "bacterial SSU rRNA". It matches the Rfam family "Bacterial small subunit ribosomal RNA", at positions 107 to 509 of the family's 1533-position model. The record is from RNAcentral.